GAGGCGGCGGAGAUGCUGCGUGCUGGGCCGCCUCGGAGACCCGAGUCCCAUCCCCUGGCUGAUUAUCAUUACACAGGCUCGGAUACUUGGACACCGGUGGAGGAGCAAUUGUUUAAAGAGGCUUUUUACCUCCAUAAGAAGAAUUUUCGCCUCAUACAGAAGCAGAUCCAGACUAAAAGCGUGUCUCAGUGU
This is a long non-coding RNA of Chroicocephalus ridibundus (black-headed gull), 192 nucleotides long. RefSeq lists it as uncharacterized. The record is from RefSeq and is a predicted model, not a curated record. The transcript has 3 exons. NCBI's taxonomy places the organism in Eukaryota, Metazoa, Chordata, Aves, Charadriiformes, Laridae.